UACCUAAAUGCUAGCUCACACACUAAAUUCAAAUAAAAUUAAAAAUAACCCCUAAUACCCUAAAACCCAAUAUUAAAACAUUUUAUUACCUAAGUAAGGGAGACUGAAAAG
RNAcentral lists this ribosomal RNA (111 nucleotides) under Hippocampus mohnikei (Japanese seahorse). RNAcentral's name for it is "partial 16S ribosomal RNA". Lineage: Eukaryota; Metazoa; Chordata; Actinopteri; Syngnathiformes; Syngnathidae. The record is from RNAcentral.